GGAAGACAGAAAACUAGACAUGUCUAUACGAUGGAACGGAUAACAGCUCAACUACAACUGGAAGUGCCAACCUUUGAGAAAAAAUGGAGACUAAUUAUAAAAUAUCUUGAAAGGACACUCAAGCCUUAACCUUGUUACAUCUGUGCUUAGAUCCAUGGGGAAGAGAUCAUAUUCCUUAUUAUGGAAGCCAGCGUCUCCUUCCUCCUCUUCUCCAUGGUCUGACAGUAGACGGAGUUCUGUACAAGUGUACUGCACAUAUUGUGUGUCUCAUAGCAGACAUGAGGAGCUGCUUCAUGGCCUCUCCUUGGUGAGGCUGAUCCGCUCCCACUCUGCUAAGGAAAGACUUUUCUGUGGGGUCCUGGUAAUAAACAGAUUUUUACAGGUUGUUGGCACUAAUACUUUGAGCCUUUCUUUCAUUGAAGACUCACUUCUUCAAGAACAUCAGAGUUUGAACCCAGAGAGAAAAAGCUUCAACUGUUCAUUGUGUCCUGGUGGAAAUUUCUAAAGGCCAAGAUGACAACUGUUCCAAACCAAGGCUCCCAGAGACUCAGGUCUGUGAAAAUGAGACGGUGGAGCACACGUUCACGUUGUCGUGCAAGGAGUCAAAAGUAUUUCUACAACUCCUUAAAACAUCUUGAGGAGCAAAAGGAAGAACUGAAACUGAGCUGGAACCUGUGUCAGCCAAUCAAAGUGGGAGGCUCUGCCUGACACCUGGCUGAGGGUCUGAUGAAAGACGUUAAGGGUGCCUCUUGGCAGGUGGCAGCAUCAUAGCCACAAAAAGGAACCUCAAGCCUGCUGUGAGUUUAUUCAGAUGACAUCAAGCCUGUUUAUACUGCAUGCAGAUGAUACUCCAUCCUCUUAAACAGAGAACACUGCACCAGAAAGAGAGCUCACACAACUGGAGCUGCAUCGGCAGGAAGACCAAGCAGACCAGAACCAGAGAGAUCUUCUCUGCAGAAUGUAUUACAGAGCCUUAAAAAAACAAGAAGACGACGAUGUUUUAUUCACUACAUACAAUGUAGAGAAGGUCAAUCCUGCAUGAACAGUGACACCACCACCCCAAGCAUCAAUACCAACCAACCGAUGACCACUGAAUGAAAAGAACAUCACAAACAUCAGUGUUAAAUUAUUUUUAGAAUUAAACAGCACUUGCUUACUUAAUAAGGUACUUACUGCCAUAUUGUUUUAGUUGCUAUAAUAACUCUAAAAUCGUCAGGAAAGCUUAUUCUGUUUCUGCAAAUCAUGUUUCUAGCGACGCCUUGUUCUCUGGAUACAACUGAAGGUCUUUGUUAUGUGGUUCAGGGAAAAUUUUCUUUGUGUAACAAUUUCAUUUUAUAAAGAAAGAAAGUAACGAACUCUUAAGCUUGAUGCUAAUUGUAAUUGUAGACUUUGUAUGGUGAGAAAUUUGUAAGUAAGUAAAAUUUAUUUA
Molecule: long non-coding RNA, 1429 nt
Organism: Oreochromis aureus
Lineage: Eukaryota; Metazoa; Chordata; Actinopteri; Cichliformes; Cichlidae
Exons: 4
Source: RefSeq, a predicted model, not a curated record